RNAcentral lists this ribosomal RNA (460 nucleotides) under uncultured bacterium. RNAcentral's name for it is "partial 16S ribosomal RNA". It matches the Rfam family "Bacterial small subunit ribosomal RNA", at positions 338 to 795 of the family's 1533-position model. The record is from RNAcentral.
CCUACGGGAGGCAGCAGUGAGGAAUAUUGGUCAAUGGACGAGAGUCUGAACCAGCCAAGUAGCGUGAAGGAUGACUGCCCUAUGGGUUGUAAACUUCUUUUAUAAAGGAAUAAAACGAGGCACGUGUGCCUUUUUGCAUGUACUUUAUGAAUAAGGAUCGGCUAACUCCGUGCCAGCAGCCGCGGUAAUACGGAGGAUCCGAGCGUUAUCCGGAUUUAUUGGGUUUAAAGGGAGCGUAGAUGGGUUGUUAAGUCAGUUGUGAAAGUCUGCGGCUCAACCGUAGAAUUGCAAUUGAUACUGGCAGUCUUGAGUACAGUAGAGGUAGGCGGAAUUCGUGGUGUAGCGGUGAAAUGCGUAGAUAUCACGAGGAACCCCGAUGGCGAAGACAGCUUACUAAACUGUGACUGACAUUGAGGCUCGAAAGUGUGGGUAGCAAACAGGAUUAGAUACCCGAGUAGUC